This 179-nucleotide non-coding RNA is filed under the name Beggiatoa leptomitoformis. RNAcentral describes it as "6S RNA". It matches the Rfam family "6S / SsrS RNA". From Rfam's summary of the family: E. coli 6S RNA was the first non coding RNA to be sequenced, but its function was unknown until recently. Lineage: Bacteria; Pseudomonadati; Pseudomonadota; Gammaproteobacteria; Thiotrichales; Thiotrichaceae. The record is from RNAcentral.
CCCUGCCCGUGUUGUGAGGGCUUUAAAAACUCUUGAACCUAACUUCACAUCUUGGGAAUAGAGAGUUAAAUGAUCUUGUUGUGCAUGCCCAUCUUGUCAUGGGAAGCCUGAAAGGUCGCUCGACGUACCCACUUGAACCACCCGGUUCAGAGAUGUCGCCGUAGCAAAAUAGGUAGGUG